AGCGAACGCUGGCGGCAGGCCUAACACAUGCAGGUCGAACGAACUCUUCGGAGUUAGUGGCGGACGGGUGAGUAACACGUGGGAACGUGCCUUUUGGUUCGGAAUACCUCAGUGUAACUUGUGCUAAUACCGAAUGUGCCCUUCUGGGAAAAGAUUUAUCGCCAUUAGAGCGGCCCGCGUCUGAUUAGCUUGUUGGGGAUGUAACGGCUCACCAAGGCGACGAUCAGUAGCUGGUCUGAGAGGAUGACCAGCCACACUGGGACUGAGACACGGCCCAGACUCCUACGGGAGGGAGCAGUGGGGAAUCUUGCGCAAUGGGCGAAAGGCUGACGCAGCCAUGCCGCGUGAAUGAUGAAGGUGGUAGGAUUGUAAAAUUCUUUCACCGGGGACGAUAAUGACGGUACCCGGAGAAGAAGCCCCGGCUAACUUCGUG
This 433-nucleotide ribosomal RNA is filed under the name uncultured bacterium. RNAcentral describes it as "partial 16S ribosomal RNA". It matches the Rfam family "Bacterial small subunit ribosomal RNA", at positions 29 to 507 of the family's 1533-position model. The record is from RNAcentral.